AUUUAUCUGCUUCCGAUUUUAACUACAAUACAGAAUCUUAUUUUGAGUCCAAUAAAUCAAAUUUAUGCCUAUUGUAUAUGUGUUUAGAGAUUUCCAUAUUCUACGUAAUACAAAAUAGUUUAACCUAUUUCUCUCCUUUUGUUUUGUUUGACUAUUAAUAUUUUUUUAAGAAAAUAUAUCUUCUGUAUAAUUACUAAGAAUAAGUUUUUUAAACUGAAUAGUUUGUAAUAAUGGUAAAUGGUAAGUUUUUUUUUUCUAUUUCCUUCUACGCCAUAUAACUACUACUUGUGAGUAAGGAAAAAACAUAGAUCAAAGAGUAAACAUAGAGAUUUUCUUAUUAGUCUUCACAAUCACUUAAAACAAUAAUAAAAACUUAUAUUACUCUUUUAUCUUAGACUUUUUGUUAUCUUGUUUAAUAGGAAGACAAUGAAAAUAGAACAAAAAGAGAAAGACUCAUUAGCAUAAACGCUCUAAGUAUUGCUACAAAAUUACGUAAAGGACUUUACAUAACCAAAUAUAAACAGAGUAGGUACAUCAGAUUUCAAAGACAAGAACUAACAAAAGCAACGAGAUGGUUCUGCAAAGUGACAAUGCUAACACAGGAACCAAACUUGGUCUCGCCGGUCUUGGCUACUCUUUGAUGGAUAUGUAACAUCCCGAUUUUUGGGGAUGCAAUCAUUAAAAGAAAUAAACCUGGUAAGUUGUCUGAAGCUAAUAUGGAGGAUUCUCUCUUCUAAUUUGGUAUGGGUUAAUUGGAUAAAUAUAUACCUUAUUAGAAAAGGUUCACUAUGGACGGGUAAGGAGAACAUUCAAUUAGGUUCUUGGAUGUGGAAAAAAAUUCUCAUGUGUAGAGAUAUUGGUAAGAGCUUGUACCGAGUAGAUAUAAGAAAUGGUAGGAAAACAUCUUUCUUGCAUGAAGCUUGGUCGCCACUGGGUUGUCUUCAGGAUAUGCUGAGGGAAGGAAACUAUAUUGAUAUGGGAAUUCCUAUAAAUGCAACCGUUGAUGUGAGUAGGAAGCAAAGAAGACAGCAUCAUCGAAUUCAUAUCUUGAAUAAUGUAGAAGAUGAGAUUGCGAGGUAUAAGGCAAACUUUGUUAAUGAAGAAGAUGUUUCCUUAUGGAAGAAUGGGACAUGACAAUACAAAAUGAACUUCUCAACGAGUGAAACAUGGAAGGUGAUUAGAAAAGAGUAUAUUGCUUGAAAUUGGUACAAAGAGAUUUGGUUCAAGUAUGUCACAUCGAAGCACUCUUUCAUUACUUGGGUUGCAAUGAAGGGGAGGCCUGCAACAGGAGAUCGCAUGAGGCAUUGGAGUGGGUUGGUGGACAGAUCUUGUGUCUUAUGCAAUGAUCCUUUGGAAACAAUGGAGCAUUUAUUUUUUGAGUGUGAGUAUUCUGCUCAAAUUUGGAAACAGAUGAUGGAAGGGGUGUUGCUACACAAGUAUACAAAUCAAUGGGAGAGGAUAAUGAGGAUCAUGAUAAGGCCGCAGGGGAGUAAAGUGAAGUCUUUUGUUAUUAAGUACAUGUUUCAACUUGCUAUUCACACAAUCUGGAGGGAAAGAAAUCGAAGGCGGCAUGGGGAGAGCCCCUCUCCUGUGAAUAUUUUGGCAAGUUUGAUAGACAAGGGGAUGAGAAACAAGCUCACUAUCAUUCAGAGGAGAAAGGAUAAAGAUUUGGAGGGAGGGAUGAUCUAUUGGUUUAGUACCAGAAUUUGAAGUUUGUUUUUUUAUCAUUGGUUUUGAGCGUUUCGAUUUACUUUGGGAGUUAGUAAUAGUAGAAGGAGAUAGGGUUUUCAUUUAGACAGGUAACACUUGAUGUAACAAGGUUAUUUCUUCUUUGAAUUCAGUUUAACAUUCAAUUCAAAAAAAAAUUAAAAUAGAUAUUUCGAACAACAAAUACUAUUAUCAGAAUUUUUUAAUUUACCAAUAAACAAUGAUAUCAUUAAAAAAAUUUAUAGUCAUAUUGUUUGUUGUUUUUGAUUAAAAUAAGAAUGAUAUAAUGGUACAUGAUUUAUUUAUAAAAUCAUUUAGAAAUAAAACAUACCUUGAGGGAGAGCCCCUCUCCUGUGAAUAUUUUGGCAAGUUUGAUAGACAAGGGGAUGAGAAACAAGCUCACUAUCAUUCAGAGGAGAAAGGAUAAAGAUUUGGAGGGAGGGAUGAUCUAUUGGCUUAGUACCAGAAUUUGAAGUUUGUUUUUUUUAUCAUUGGUUUUGAGCUUUUCUAUUUUACUUUGGGAGUUAGUUAUAGUAGAAGGAGAUAGGGUUUUCAUUUUUUUUUUUUUGUCACCUGUCACAUUGCCUCGCCACGCAAGACACUUAGUUUCAAGAGCUUAGCAGAAUGUAAUGCUGGGUGCAAGGCAUAAGUUAACUCGAGGCGUGCAAAUAGCACUGAAUAAACGUUUUAUUUAACACGUAAUUUAUCUGCUUCCGAUUUUAACUACAAUACAGAAUCUUAUUUUGAGUCCAAUAAAUCAAAUUUAUGCCUAUUGUAUAUGUGUUUAGAGAUUUCCAUAUUCUACGUAAUACAAAAUAGUUUAACCUAUUUCUCUCCUUUUGUUUUGUUUGACUAUUAAUAUUUUUUUAAGAAAAUAUAUCUUCUGUAUAAUUACUAAGAAUAAGUUUUUUAAACUGAAUAGUUUGUAAUAAUGGUAAAUGGUAAGUUUUUUUU
RNAcentral lists this long non-coding RNA (2661 nucleotides) under Brassica napus (rape). RNAcentral describes it as "long non-coding RNA (BNAP_LNC004106)". The record is from RNAcentral. Lineage: Eukaryota; Viridiplantae; Streptophyta; Magnoliopsida; Brassicales; Brassicaceae.